GAGGCUAUAGCUCAGUGAUAGAGUGCAUGCCUAGGAUACAGAAAGUCCUGGGUUCAAUUCCCAGUACCUCU
RNAcentral lists this transfer RNA (71 nucleotides) under Camelus bactrianus (Bactrian camel). It matches the Rfam family "tRNA". From Rfam's summary of the family: Transfer RNA (tRNA) molecules are approximately 80 nucleotides in length. Their secondary structure includes four short double-helical elements and three loops (D, anti-codon, and T loops). Lineage: Eukaryota; Metazoa; Chordata; Mammalia; Artiodactyla; Camelidae. The record is from Rfam by way of RNAcentral. RNAcentral also lists the same sequence under 1 other name.